GCUCCCGUCGUCCAACGGUGCACGACGCCGGCCUUUCACGUCGGAGAUCGGGGUUCGACUCCCCGCGGGAGCACCA
RNAcentral lists this transfer RNA (76 nucleotides) under Planctomycetota bacterium. RNAcentral's name for it is "Planctomycetes bacterium (soil metagenome) tRNA-Glu". It matches the Rfam family "tRNA". Rfam says of the family: Transfer RNA (tRNA) molecules are approximately 80 nucleotides in length. Their secondary structure includes four short double-helical elements and three loops (D, anti-codon, and T loops). Further hydrogen bonds mediate the characteristic L-shaped molecular structure. tRNAs have two regions of fundamental functional importance: the anti-codon, which is responsible for specific mRNA codon recognition, and the 3' end, to which the tRNAs corresponding amino acid is attached (by aminoacyl-tRNA synthetases). tRNAs cope with the degeneracy of the genetic code in two manners: having more than one tRNA (with a specific anti-codon) for a particular amino acid; and 'wobble' base-pairing, i.e. permitting non-standard base-pairing at the 3rd anti-codon position. The record is from RNAcentral. Lineage: Bacteria; Pseudomonadati; Planctomycetota.